GAAUUCGCCCUUAGAGUUUGAUCCUGGCUCAGAAUGAACGCUGGCGGCGUGCCUUAGACAAGCAAGUCGAACGCGAACGUAGACUUCGGUCUACUAGUAGAGUGGCGAACGGGUGAGUAACACGUGGGCAAUCUGCCCAGUAGUGGGGAACAACUUGGGGAAACUCGAGCUAAUACCGCAUACGUCUUUCUGGCUUCGGCUGGGAAGGGAAAGAUGGCCUCUUCUUGAAAGCUAUCGCUACUGGAGGAGCCCGCGCUCGAUUAGUUAGUUGGUGGGGUAACGGCCUACCAAGACGACGAUCGAUAGCCGGCCUGAGAGGGUGAUCGGCCACACUGGAACUGAGACACGGUCCAGACUCCUACGGGAGGCAGCAGUCGGGAAUAUUGCGCAAUGGGGGAAACCCUGACGCAGCAACGCCGCGUGGAGGAUGAAGGCCUUCGGGUCGUAAACUUCUGUCAGAUGGGAAGAAAAAGUACGAGCUAAUAAUUCGUACCCUUGACGGUACCAUCAGAGGAAGCACCGGCUAACUCCGUGCCAGCAGCCGCGGUAAUAAGGGCG
This 558-nucleotide ribosomal RNA is filed under the name uncultured Acidobacteriota bacterium. Its description in RNAcentral is "bacterial SSU rRNA". It matches the Rfam family "Bacterial small subunit ribosomal RNA", at positions 1 to 531 of the family's 1533-position model. Lineage: Bacteria; Pseudomonadati; Acidobacteriota. The record is from RNAcentral.